CCUACGGGUGGCAGCAGUGGGGAAUAUUGGGCAAUGGGCGCAAGCCUGACCCAGCAACGCCGCGUGAAGGAAGGAGGCUUUCGGGUUGUAAACUUCUUUUCUCAGGGACGAAGCAAGUUACGGUACCUGAGGAAUAAGCCACGGCUAACUACGUGCCAGCAGCCGCGGUAAUACGUAGGUGGCAAGCGUUAUCGGGUUUUACUGGGGGUAAAGGUCGUGUAGGUGGGACUGCACGUCGGAUGGGAAAACCACGGGCUAAAGCUGUGGCCUGCAUUUGAUACUGUAGUUCUUGAGUACGGGAGAGGCAGGAGGAAUGUCUAGUGUAGCGGUGAAAUGCGUAGAUAUUA
RNAcentral lists this ribosomal RNA (347 nucleotides) under uncultured bacterium. Its description in RNAcentral is "partial 16S ribosomal RNA". It matches the Rfam family "Bacterial small subunit ribosomal RNA", at positions 338 to 699 of the family's 1533-position model. The record is from RNAcentral.